UGACGGUAUUUAACCAGAAAGUCACGGCUAACUACGUGCCAGCAGCCGCGGUAAUACGUAGGUGGCAAGCGUUAUCCGGAUUUAUUGGGCGUAAAGAGAGUGCAGGCGGUUUUCUAAGUCUGAUGUGAAAGCCUUCGGCUUAACCGGAGAAGUGCAUCGGAAACUGGAUAACUUGAGUGCAGAAGAGGGUAGUGGAACUCCAUGUGUAGCGGUGGAAUGCGUAGAUAUAUGGAAGAACACCAGUGGCGAAGGCGGCUACCUGGUCUGCAACUGACGCUGAGACUCGAAAGCAUGGGUAGCGAACAGGAUUAGAUACCCUGGUAGUCCAUGCCGUAAACGAUGAGUGCUAGGUGUUGGAGGGUUUCCGCCCUUCAGUGCCGGAGCUAACGCAUUAAGCACUCCGCCUGGGGAGUACGACCGCAAGGUUGAAACUCAAAGGAAUUGACGGGGGCCCGCACAAGCGGUGGAGCAUGUGGUUUAAUUCGAAGCUACGCGAAGAACCUUACCAGGUCUUGACAUCUUGCGCCAACCCUAGAGAUAGGGCGUUUCCUUCGGGAACGCAAUGACAGGUGGUGCAUGGUCGUCGUCAGCUCGUGUCGUGAGAUGUUGGGUUAAGUCCCGCAACGAGCGCAACCCUUGUUACUAGUUGCCAGCAUUAAGUUGGGCACUCUAGUGAGACUGCCGGUGACAAACCGGAGGAAGGUGGGGACGACGUCAGAUCAUCAUGCCCCUUAUGACCUGGGCUACACACGUGCUACAAUGGACGGUACAACGAGUCGCGAACUCGCGAGGGCAAGCAAAUCUCUUAAAACCGUUCUCAGUUCGGACUGCAGGCUGCAACUCGCCUGCACGAAGUCGGAAUCGCUAGUAAUCGCGGAUCAGCAUGCCGCGGUGAAUACGUUCCCGGGCCUUGUACACACCGCCCGUCACACCAUGAGAGUUUGUAACACCCAAAGUCGGUGGGGUAACCUUUUAGGAGCCAGCCGCCUAAGGUGGACUGAGA
RNAcentral lists this ribosomal RNA (1003 nucleotides) under Limosilactobacillus fermentum. RNAcentral describes it as "bacterial SSU rRNA". It matches the Rfam family "Bacterial small subunit ribosomal RNA", at positions 470 to 1472 of the family's 1533-position model. Lineage: Bacteria; Bacillati; Bacillota; Bacilli; Lactobacillales; Lactobacillaceae. The record is from RNAcentral.